GACAGAGGGUGCAAACGUUGCUCGGAAUUACUGGGCGUAAAGGGCGUGUAGGCGGGAAGGCAAGUCGGGCGUGAAAUCCCCAGGCUCAACCUGGGAACUGCACUCGAAACUGCCUUUCUUGAGUGCCGGAGAGGAAAGCGGAAUUCCUGGUGUAGAGGUGAAAUUCGUAGAUAUCAGGAGGAACACCAGUGGCGAAGGCGGCUUUCUGGACGGUAACUGACGCUGAGAACGCGGAAAGCGUGGGGGAGCAAACAGG
Molecule: ribosomal RNA, 256 nt
Filed under: uncultured bacterium
Lineage: Bacteria
Description: partial 16S ribosomal RNA
Rfam family: Bacterial small subunit ribosomal RNA
Source: RNAcentral